GCCUGUGUUGCUCAGUGGAUAGAGUGUUGGCCUGUGGACCAAAGGGUGCCAGGUUCAACUCCAGUCAAGGGCA
This 73-nucleotide transfer RNA is filed under the name Myotis davidii. It matches the Rfam family "tRNA". Rfam says of the family: Transfer RNA (tRNA) molecules are approximately 80 nucleotides in length. Lineage: Eukaryota; Metazoa; Chordata; Mammalia; Chiroptera; Vespertilionidae. The record is from Rfam by way of RNAcentral.